Long non-coding RNA from Neofelis nebulosa (Clouded leopard), 318 nucleotides. RefSeq lists it as uncharacterized. The record is from RefSeq and is a predicted model, not a curated record. The transcript is spliced from 2 exons. Lineage: Eukaryota; Metazoa; Chordata; Mammalia; Carnivora; Felidae.
UUUAAUCAAGAUAGUGCAUGCCCUGCUUGGAGGAAACCAAGUCAUUCAUUCAUCCAUUCAUCCAUACAUCCAUUCAUUCAUUCAACAGGCCGUAAGCCAACUAUGUGCAGAUACAGUCAGGUAUUGGGGACAUGACAUUGACAGCUCUUCAGGAAGCUAGGUCUGGUGUUGGUACCAGAGCACAGGCCAGAGCGAGCGGGCCCAUCUGCUUCUAUUUCACUCCACGUUACUCAUCAGGAUGUGUUUGCCAGCAGUUAUUUGAUGUUCAGGAAGAAUUCCGAGGCUUUUGAAAAGAAGUGAAUAAAAUCUUUAAUCCCC